RNAcentral lists this long non-coding RNA (2634 nucleotides) under Bos grunniens (domestic yak). RNAcentral describes it as "lncRNA (ENSBGRG00000019882.1)". The record is from RNAcentral. Lineage: Eukaryota; Metazoa; Chordata; Mammalia; Artiodactyla; Bovidae.
UAUAAUCAUCUAGUGGGCUGGAUACUCUGGCUUCUUGACUAGCAUGUGCUUUCCCUACAGGCAGAUCUAAGUGGGAAGCCAAAUUAUCAUCAGAGGGCGGCUUGGUGAGCAUGGAAUCAGGCCAGGGGAGUUCGUUAUGAGAUUUGGCAUUCCUGAGCUUUUUAUUCUUUAUACCAAGCAGCGCUGAGAAGCACAGACUCGCUGACUGUGGCUGGCUGCCUCUGCUCUUGCUGUUCCCUCCGACUUUCCAUUGUUCCCUCGGGUGAGCUACGUGUAAAGCAGGACCCAGCUCAACCACCUCCUCCUCUGGAAAGCCUUGAUCUUCCCCCAGACAGAGACCGCAGGUAUGUCUCCCCCUGUGCAGAUGGCUACUCCACCAGCAGUGCAUGUGUAUCUGAAGGUUGGCUGGGUUGUGCGCAUGGAAAGAAGAAAACAAGAGAGGGAGGUAAAAAUCCACAGAAACCUAAAUCAAAAGCAAGUGUCGUAUGUACCAUGAGGGGAGCAGGCGGGCCUUGUUUCCGCGCACACGCCACUCUGUCUUUGCCGCUCAGACUGAUCUUUGAAAUAAAAUAAAGAAGCAUGGCAAACUAACUGAAACAUAGGUAGAAAUAAUAUAUUUGGGUUUCAGAAAGAAAAAAAAAAAUUAACCUGGCAUAGCUUGAAAGGCAACCCAUUUCAUAACAACACAUGUGCAAAGAAUUACAAUAAUUGCAGUGCACACAUCGGUAACAGACAGAGGGAACAAUGAAUAUUAAAAACACAUUCCUAGCACUGGCCCCAUGGCUUGGCAGCGGCACGCAGCGUGGAGACCCACGCGGGAGUCGGAGGAAGGCGCUUGGCUUCCAGAGCUGUCAGGGCUUGGCAGGAGCCGAGGAGGAGAGAGGAGGACGGGAGGUGGCAGAGACCGUCCCCAUCAUGGCGACUCCUCUCUCCCACUGACAGCGCCCUAGGGUGGCUUCAGGAGGGGAGCACAGAGGAAGUCUGCCUCCAGCCUUCUGGGGCUCUGGUUCAGAGCUGAAUCCGAGCCAGGCUGAGAAGGAGGAGGGCUGAGGAUAGAAAAACAAACACCAAAGAACAGACAGAAGGUAACGCUGGGAACACCCAGACGGUGCCCUGGCCGGGCGUCCCAGGCCUCUCUCUCAAGGCUCGCCUCCAGCAGGAUCCAGCAGGUUGGACUUCACUGCUGUGGAGACAGAAACCAGGAACAUGUUUUUCUUCUGUGGACUAAAUGCAUGGCUCUGCCUUUUGCCUUCAGUAUUUGCUAUGCGGUGGCAUUAAAGUCUGCAGCAGGGUGAAUUCUCCUGGUGGUUUAUUCUAAAUCCUUCAAAGGCACAUUAACCAAACACCCAAGGUACACAAUGAUCUUUUCACCAUGAAUCCUUCCCAUUGUCAGCAAUUACAAAAGCCCUUCUCUUAAGUACAGCUUUGGUUGCGAACAUUCAGAUUUUGUCUCUUGCCAUUGGCAAGGAAUUGACUUUUCAGUCCUUGCAACUUUGGCAAUGAGACAGGCCAGAGAGUGAGAAUCUCUAACCAGAAAGUUUGGUUCACACACUGGGAGCUGAGACCCGCAGAUUCUUACCCUGAGGACCAUGAACAUCCAAGGAGUUGGUGAAGCAGAAUUCAGGGACAUCCAUACACGUGGAUGGGAAAAAAAUGACAUCUUUAUUUUUGCUGAUAUCUGAGAUUUAGCAUUCCCUUACAUUACGGGUAUAGGAAACAAACCAUUAUAGUACUAGUUAAUACAUAUGACUUUGUCAUGGAUGUUUUCAUGUCAUUUCACAGUUAUUUCAGAUAUCUCUAAUUAUUAUCUAUGCUCAUCACUACUAGGAAUUUUGGUAACUAUUAGACCUGCCACAAGAUCUUGUCUUGUGCACUGGUGAAGAAGCACAUAGCAAAAUAAAAUAAUUUGUUGACUAUAUCUUAAUAUAUUAUUUUCCCUUGACAUGUUAUAUACUGCUUUUCAUUAUUUUUAAGAAGAUUAUUCUGGGAAGAGUACAUAGGCCACUUGGCCUCACUGCGGAGGCCUCCAGGGCACACGCAACAUCUACCUGAAGAAGGACCCAGUCUCUAGAGCAGUCAUGAGGGGUUGGUGAUUCCCACCGUCACACAGUGCUCCCUCAGCGGGUCGGCCUUAGGCUUGUCUCCACAGAAGAGGGAGAGAAGGGAGCCGCAAACAUGCAUUUCAAGGCUCAACCCUGAGGACUUAACAGAGGAGCUUCUGGCCUGUCCUUUCUUAAGAGAUGCUCAGUAAACCUUAGCAUCUGCCAGACAAAAAUUUGCAUUAUCUCUUCAGUGAUUUGUGGCACAGCUUCAAAAUGGUUUCAUUAAAAAGAAAAUAUUGGAGGAGAAUGGAUACAUGUACAUAUAUGACUGAAUCCCUUUGCUGUCCACCUGGAAAUAUCACUGCAUUUGUUAAUUGGCUAUAUUACAAUAUAAAAUAAAAUGUUAAAAAAUAAAAUAAACUCCUCAAACAACUUCUCCAGUUUCUCCAGAUGUUGGCCAAGAGUGUUUGCCAUAAAAUCACAGUUGAUAAGGUAGAGAAAAGCCAAAGCUAAUGAGGAACUAACUAUAUUUGCCAGUUUCCAAACCAAAGGCAGCAGGAACAGCUAUUAGAGGAGUGGUAAAAGAAUCAGA